RNAcentral lists this ribosomal RNA (431 nucleotides) under uncultured bacterium. RNAcentral describes it as "partial 16S ribosomal RNA". It matches the Rfam family "Bacterial small subunit ribosomal RNA", at positions 29 to 526 of the family's 1533-position model. The record is from RNAcentral.
AGUGAACGCUGGCGGCGUGCCUAAUACAUGCAAGUCGAACGGAGUGGCGCACGGGUGAGUAAUGUAUAGCUAAUCUGCCCUACACUAGAGGACAACAGUUGGAAACGGCUGCUAAUACUCUAUAGUGUAGGAUGAGGAUAUAUUGUAUCAGCUAGUUGGUGAGGUAAUGGCCAACCAAGGCUAUGACGCAUAACUGGUCUGAGAGGAUGAUCAGUCACACUGGAACUGAGACACGGUCCAGACUCCUACGGGAGGCAGCAGUAGGGAAUAUUGCUCAAUGGGGGAAACCCUGAAGCAGCAACGCCGCGUGGAGGAUGACACUUUUCGGGUUGUAAAGCUCUGUUAAUCGGGACGUCUUGCGAAAGUGAGAAGGAUUGACGGUACCGGAAUAGAAAGCCACGGUAACUACGUGCCAGCAGCCGCGGUAAUAC